CCUUGGAGUUGGGCAUCAGAA
This 21-nucleotide microRNA is filed under the name Sus scrofa (pig). RNAcentral's name for it is "partial non-coding RNA". Lineage: Eukaryota; Metazoa; Chordata; Mammalia; Artiodactyla; Suidae. The record is from RNAcentral.